GAGUUGUUAAUCCUACUUAUAAAGGUUGGCCUCGUGCAACAGUUAAGGCCGAUAUUUAUGAAUUCAAACAUGAAUAUGAACAAUAUUUGCGCUAUUUAUUUACUUAUAUACCUAAUCGUAUUUCUAUUACUACUGAUAUUGGUAGAAGUAAUAAUGACUGUGAUUAUCUAACUGUUACAAGUCAUUGGAAAGACGAGGACU
RNAcentral lists this long non-coding RNA (201 nucleotides) under Nicotiana benthamiana. Its description in RNAcentral is "long non-coding RNA (NBEN_LNC009307)". The record is from RNAcentral. Lineage: Eukaryota; Viridiplantae; Streptophyta; Magnoliopsida; Solanales; Solanaceae.